GAUGAACGCUGGCGGCGUGCCUAAUACAUGCAAGUCGAGCGAACGGACGAGAAGCUUGCUUUUCUGAUGUUAGCGGCGGACGGGUGAGUAACACGUGGAUAACCUACCUAUAAGACUGGGAUAACUUCGGGAAACCGGAGCUAAUACCGGAUAAUAUUUUGAACCGCAUGGUUCAAAAGUGAAAGACGGUCUUGCUGUCACUUAUAGAUGGAUCCGCGCUGCAUUAGCUAGUUGGUAAGGUAACGGCUUACCAAGGCAACGAUGCAUAGCCGACCUGAGAGGGUGAUCGGCCACACUGGAACUGAGACACGGUCCAGACUCCUACGGGAGGCAGCAGUAGGGAAUCUUCCGCAAUGGGCGAAAGCCUGACGGAGCAACGCCGCGUGAGUGAUGAAGGUCUUCGGAUCGUAAAACUCUGUUAUUAGGGAAGAACAUAUGUGUAAGUAACUGUGCACAUCUUGACGGUACCUAAUCAGAAAGCCACGGCUAGCUACGUG
This 497-nucleotide ribosomal RNA is filed under the name uncultured bacterium. RNAcentral's name for it is "partial 16S ribosomal RNA". It matches the Rfam family "Bacterial small subunit ribosomal RNA", at positions 28 to 507 of the family's 1533-position model. The record is from RNAcentral.